UUGAUUUAGUCUGGUGGCUUC
Caenorhabditis elegans is the source of this 21-nucleotide non-coding RNA. Lineage: Eukaryota; Metazoa; Nematoda; Chromadorea; Rhabditida; Rhabditidae. The record is from Ensembl.